AAUAGAUACCCGGGUAGUCCACGCCGUAAACGUUGGGCGCUAGAUGUGGGGACCAUUCCACGGUUUCCGCGUCGUAGCUAACGCAUUAAGCGCCCCGCCUGGGGAGUACGGCCGCAAGGCUAAAACUCAAAGGAAUUGACGGGGGCCCGCACAAGCGGCGGAGCAUGCGGAUUAAUUCGAUGCAACGCGAAGAACCUUACCAAGGCUUGACAUAUGCGAGAACGCUCUAGAAAUAGAGAACUCUUUGGACACUCGUAUACAGGUGGUGCAUGGUUAUCGUCAGCUCGUGUCGUGAGAUGUUGGGUUAAGUCCCGCAACGAGCGCAACCCUCGUCGCAUGUUGCCAGCACGUAAUGGUGGGAACUCAUGUGAGACUGCCGGGGUCAACUCGGAGGAAGGUGGGGAUGACGUCAAAUCAUCAUGCCCCUUAUGUCUUGGGCUUCACGCAUGCUACAAUGGCCGGUACAAAGGGCUGCGAAACCGCAAGGUGGAGCGAAUCCCAAAAAGCCGGUCUCAGUUCGGA
Molecule: ribosomal RNA, 522 nt
Filed under: uncultured bacterium
Lineage: Bacteria
Description: bacterial SSU rRNA
Rfam family: Bacterial small subunit ribosomal RNA
Source: RNAcentral